This 410-nucleotide long non-coding RNA is filed under the name Hordeum vulgare. Its description in RNAcentral is "long non-coding RNA (HVUL_LNC019690)". Lineage: Eukaryota; Viridiplantae; Streptophyta; Magnoliopsida; Poales; Poaceae. The record is from RNAcentral.
CUACUUUUCAUGAUGGUGAGUCUAAAUAUGUAUUUUCUCUUUUUCGGGCUGAGUAUUCCAUGUCUCUCUUCCAAGCACCAUCUUCAUGCAUGUUGUGUCUGUGUCACGUAUUGUUUUUCUUAUACUCACACUAACUUCUUUCAUCAAUAGAAUAAUAGAUUUACAUAUUUGAGACCAAAAAAAACUUUUAUCCGAGCACACCGAACUCUCAUAGACACGACUCUGAACUGGUGAACCCUGUCGGUCACAAUCGUUGAAUAUUUUGAUAAUUUGGCUGAAUUAUUUACUCCAACUUCUUUCAAUAGAAUAGUACACAAACUCUACGUGUUCGAGAAAGAAAAUCUCUAUCCGAGCACUUCAAACUUUCGUAGAUGUGACUCUGAACUGGUGAGCCCUGUCGGUCACAAUNN